This 685-nucleotide ribosomal RNA is filed under the name Pseudomonas sp. RNAcentral's name for it is "bacterial SSU rRNA". It matches the Rfam family "Bacterial small subunit ribosomal RNA", at positions 42 to 721 of the family's 1533-position model. Lineage: Bacteria; Pseudomonadati; Pseudomonadota; Gammaproteobacteria; Pseudomonadales; Pseudomonadaceae. The record is from RNAcentral.
GCAGGCCUAACACAUGCAAGUCGAGCGGUAGAGAGAAGCUUGCUUCUCUUGAGAGCGGCGGACGGGUGAGUAAUGCCUAGGAAUCUGCCUGGUAGUGGGGGAUAACGUUCGGAAACGGACGCUAAUACCGCAUACGUCCUACGGGAGAAAGCAGGGGACCUUCGGGCCUUGCGCUAUCAGAUGAGCCUAGGUCGGAUUAGCUAGUUGGUGAGGUAAUGGCUCACCAAGGCGACGAUCCGUAACUGGUCUGAGAGGAUGAUCAGUCACACUGGAACUGAGACACGGUCCAGACUCCUACGGGAGGCAGCAGUGGGGAAUAUUGGACAAUGGGCGAAAGCCUGAUCCAGCCAUGCCGCGUGUGUGAAGAAGGUCUUCGGAUUGUAAAGCACUUUAAGUUGGGAGGAAGGGUUGUAGAUUAAUACUCUGCAAUUUUGACGUUACCGACAGAAUAAGCACCGGCUAACUCUGUGCCAGCAGCCGCGGUAAUACAGAGGGUGCAAGCGUUAAUCGGAAUUACUGGGCGUAAAGCGCGCGUAGGUGGUUUGUUAAGUUGGAUGUGAAAUCCCCGGGCUCAACCUGGGAACUGCAUUCAAAACUGACUGACUAGAGUAUGGUAGAGGGUGGUGGGAAUUUCCUGUGUAGCGGUGAAAUGCGUAGAUAUAGGAAGGAACACCAGUGGCGAAGG